UACGGAGGGUGCGAGCGUUGUUCGGAAUUAUUGGGCGUAAAGCGCACGUAGGCGGCUCUUUAAGUCUCAUUGUGAAAGCCCGCGGCUCAACCGCGGGAGGCCAAGGGAUACUGGAGGGCUGGAGACAGGUAGAGGCGAGCGGAAUUCCGGGUGUAGCGGUGGAAUGCGUAGAGAUCCGGAAGAACACCAGAGGCGAAGGCGGCUCGCUGGACCUUGUCUGACGCUGAGGUGCGAAAGCGUGGGGAGCGAA
This 250-nucleotide ribosomal RNA is filed under the name uncultured bacterium. RNAcentral's name for it is "partial 16S ribosomal RNA". It matches the Rfam family "Bacterial small subunit ribosomal RNA", at positions 524 to 772 of the family's 1533-position model. The record is from RNAcentral.